UACGUAGGGGGCAAGCGUUGUCCGGAUUUAUUGGGCGUAAAGAGCUCGUAGGCGGCUUGUCACGUCGGGUGUGAAAGCCCGGGGCUUAACCCCGGGUCUGCAUUCGAUACGGGCUAGCUAGAGUGUGGUAGGGGAGAUCGGAAUUCCUGGUGUAGCGGUGAAAUGCGCAGAUAUCAGGAAGAACACCCGUGGCGAAGGCGGCUCUCUGGGACGGUACUGACGCUGAGACGCGAAAGCGUGGGGAGCGAACAGG
RNAcentral lists this ribosomal RNA (253 nucleotides) under uncultured bacterium. Its description in RNAcentral is "partial 16S ribosomal RNA". It matches the Rfam family "Bacterial small subunit ribosomal RNA", at positions 524 to 776 of the family's 1533-position model. The record is from RNAcentral.